RNAcentral lists this ribosomal RNA (158 nucleotides) under Metarhizium anisopliae. Its description in RNAcentral is "5.8S ribosomal RNA". It matches the Rfam family "5.8S ribosomal RNA". Rfam says of the family: 5.8S ribosomal RNA (5.8S rRNA) is a component of the large subunit of the eukaryotic ribosome. It is transcribed by RNA polymerase I as part of the 45S precursor that also contains 18S and 28S rRNA. Functionally, it is thought that 5.8S rRNA may be involved in ribosome translocation. The record is from RNAcentral. Lineage: Eukaryota; Fungi; Ascomycota; Sordariomycetes; Hypocreales; Clavicipitaceae.
AUCAAAACUUUCAACAACGGAUCUCUUGGUUCUGGCAUCGAUGAAGAACGCAGCGAAAUGCGAUAAGUAAUGUGAAUUGCAGAAUUCAGUGAAUCAUCGAAUCUUUGAACGCACAUUGCGCCCGUCAGUAUUCUGGCGGGCAUGCCUGUUCGAGCGUC